RNAcentral lists this ribosomal RNA (481 nucleotides) under uncultured bacterium. Its description in RNAcentral is "bacterial SSU rRNA". It matches the Rfam family "Bacterial small subunit ribosomal RNA", at positions 30 to 507 of the family's 1533-position model. The record is from RNAcentral.
UGAACGCUGGCGGCGUGCCUAACACAUGCAAGUCGAACGAAGCUUGACGGAUGAUUUCUUCGGAAUGAAACCAGAUAUGACUUAGUGGCGGACGGGUGAGUAACACGUGAGCAACCUGCCUUUCAGAGGGGGAUAACGGCUGGAAACGGUCGCUAAUACCGCAUGAAGUGUUCGGAUGGCAUCAUCUGAACAUCAAAGAUUUAUCGCUGAAAGAUGGGCUCGCGUCUGAUUAGAUAGUUGGUGGGGUAACGGCCUACCAAGUCGACGAUCAGUAGCCGGACUGAGAGGUUGAACGGCCACAUUGGGACUGAGAUACGGCCCAGACUCCUACGGGAGGCAGCAGUGGGGAAUAUUGCACAAUGGGGGAAACCCUGAUGCAGCAACGCCGCGUGAAGGAUGACGGUUUUCGGAUUGUAAACUUCUUUUCUUAGUGACGAAGACAGUGACGGUAGCUAAGGAAUAAGCAUCGGCUAACUACGUG